RNAcentral lists this ribosomal RNA (405 nucleotides) under uncultured bacterium. RNAcentral describes it as "partial 16S ribosomal RNA". It matches the Rfam family "Bacterial small subunit ribosomal RNA", at positions 30 to 526 of the family's 1533-position model. The record is from RNAcentral.
AUUGAACGCUGGCGGCAGGCUUAACACAUGCAAGUCGAACGAGUGGCGGACGGGUGAGUAAUGCUUGGGAAUCUAGCUUAUGGAGGGGGAUAACUACGGGAAACUGUAGCUAAUACCGCGUACCAUAGGAUGAGCCCAAGUGGGAUUAGGUAGUUGGUGAGUUAAAGGCUCACCAAGCCGGCGAUGUCUAGCUGGUCUGAGAGGAUGACCGGCCAAGCUGGGACUGAAACACGGCCCGGACACCACCGGGAGGCAGAAGUGGGAAAUAUUGCGAAAGGGGGACAGCCUAGCGCAGACAUGCCGCGGGAAUAGAGAAGGCCUUCGGGUUGUAAGGUUCUUUCGGUAGCAAGGCGUUAACUACAGAGAAAGCACCGGCUAACUCCGUGCCAGCAGCCGCGGUAAUUC